Molecule: transfer RNA, 69 nt
Filed under: Ictidomys tridecemlineatus (thirteen-lined ground squirrel)
Lineage: Eukaryota; Metazoa; Chordata; Mammalia; Rodentia; Sciuridae
Description: Spermophilus tridecemlineatus (thirteen-lined ground squirrel) tRNA
Rfam family: tRNA
About the family: Transfer RNA (tRNA) molecules are approximately 80 nucleotides in length. Their secondary structure includes four short double-helical elements and three loops (D, anti-codon, and T loops).
Source: Rfam by way of RNAcentral
GGGGUUGUGGUUCAGUGGUAGAGCACUUGUCUAACAUGUGUGAGACCCUGGGUUCAAUUCUCAGCACCA